GGCGCCAUGGCUUAGUUGGAAAAGCGCCUGUCUAGUAAACAGGAUAUCCUGGGUUCAAAUCCCAGUGGUGCCU
Molecule: transfer RNA, 73 nt
Filed under: Petromyzon marinus (sea lamprey)
Lineage: Eukaryota; Metazoa; Chordata; Hyperoartia; Petromyzontiformes; Petromyzontidae
Description: tRNA-Thr (AGT) (tRNA-Thr-AGT-14-1)
Rfam family: tRNA
About the family: Transfer RNA (tRNA) molecules are approximately 80 nucleotides in length. Their secondary structure includes four short double-helical elements and three loops (D, anti-codon, and T loops). Further hydrogen bonds mediate the characteristic L-shaped molecular structure. tRNAs have two regions of fundamental functional importance: the anti-codon, which is responsible for specific mRNA codon recognition, and the 3' end, to which the tRNAs corresponding amino acid is attached (by aminoacyl-tRNA synthetases). tRNAs cope with the degeneracy of the genetic code in two manners: having more than one tRNA (with a specific anti-codon) for a particular amino acid; and 'wobble' base-pairing, i.e. permitting non-standard base-pairing at the 3rd anti-codon position.
Source: RNAcentral